RNAcentral lists this ribosomal RNA (1334 nucleotides) under metagenome. Its description in RNAcentral is "bacterial LSU rRNA". It matches the Rfam family "Bacterial large subunit ribosomal RNA", at positions 1611 to 2925 of the family's 2925-position model. The record is from RNAcentral.
AAAAAAGCCUCUAGUGGGUGUUGUGGCGGCCCGUACCCUAAACCGACUCAGGUGGUCAGGUAGAGAAUACCAAGGCGAUCGGGUGAACUGUGGUUAAGGAACUCGGCAAAUUGCCCCCGUAACUUCGGGAGAAGGGGGACCUCUGCUGGUGAUGGGCUUUACGUUCUGAGCUGGUGGGGGUCGCAGUGGCCAGGGGGAAGCGACUGUUUACUAAAAACACAGGUCCGUGCGAAGUCGUAAGACGAUGUAUACGGACUGACGCCUGCCCGGUGCCGGAACGUUAAGGGGACCGCUUAGCCAACGCGAGUUGGCGAAGGUGAGAACUUAAGCGCCGGUAAACGGCGGUGGUAACUAUAACCAUCCUAAGGUAGCGAAAUUCCUUGUCGGGUAAGUUCCGACCUGCACGAAUGGCGUAACGACUUCCCCGCUGUCUCAACCACAGACCCGGCGAAAUUGCACUACGAGUAAAGAUGCUCGUUUCGCGCAGCAGGACGGAAAGACCCCGGGACCUUCACUACAGCUUGACAUUGGCGUUUGGAACGUCUUGUGUAGGAUAGGUGGGAGACUGGGAAGCUGUCACGCUAGUGAUGGUGGAGUCAUUGGUGAAAUACCACUCUGGUCGUUUUGAACGUCUAACUCUGGUCCGUGAUCCAGAUCGGGGACAGUGUCUGGUGGGUAGUUUAACUGGGGCGGUUGCCUCCUAAAGAGUAACGGAGGCGCCCAAAGGUUCCCUCAGCCUGGUUGGCAAUCAGGUGUUGAGUGUAAGUGCACAAGGGAGCUUGACUGUGAGACUACAGGUCGAGCAGGAGCGAAAGCUGGGACUAGUGAUCCGGCAUCGGCGUGCGGAAGCGGUGUCGCUCAACGGCUAAAAGGUACCCCGGGGAUAACAGGCUGAUCUUCCCCAAGAGUCCAUAUCGACGGGAUGGUUUGGCACCUCGAUGUCGGCUCGUCGCAUCCUGGGGCUGGAGUAGGUCCCAAGGGUUGGGCUGUUCGCCCAUUAAAGCGGUACGCGAGCUGGGUUUAGAACGUCGCAGACAGUUCGGUCCCUAUCCGCUGCGCGCGCAGGAGACUUGAAGGGGGCUGUCCCUAGUACGAGAGGACCGGGACGGACGAACCUCUGGUGUGCCAGUUGUACCGCCAGGUGCACGGCUGGUUGGCUACGUUCGGAAGGGAUAACCGCUGAAAGCAUCUAAGCGGGAAGCUCGCCUUGAGAUGAGGUCUCCCACCCCGUGAGGGGGUAAGGCUCCCGGUAGAUCACCGGGUUGAUAGGCCGGAGGUGGAAGCACGGUAACGUGUGGAGCUGACCGGUACUAAUAGGCCGAGGACCUGACCUA